GGGUAUAGCUCAAUGGUAGAGCAUGUGCUUAACAUGCACGAGGUCCUGGGUUCAAUCCCCAGGAUGUCCA
Molecule: transfer RNA, 70 nt
Filed under: Camelus bactrianus (Bactrian camel)
Lineage: Eukaryota; Metazoa; Chordata; Mammalia; Artiodactyla; Camelidae
Also listed under: 1 other name
Rfam family: tRNA
About the family: Transfer RNA (tRNA) molecules are approximately 80 nucleotides in length. Their secondary structure includes four short double-helical elements and three loops (D, anti-codon, and T loops). Further hydrogen bonds mediate the characteristic L-shaped molecular structure. tRNAs have two regions of fundamental functional importance: the anti-codon, which is responsible for specific mRNA codon recognition, and the 3' end, to which the tRNAs corresponding amino acid is attached (by aminoacyl-tRNA synthetases). tRNAs cope with the degeneracy of the genetic code in two manners: having more than one tRNA (with a specific anti-codon) for a particular amino acid; and 'wobble' base-pairing, i.e. permitting non-standard base-pairing at the 3rd anti-codon position.
Source: Rfam by way of RNAcentral